GCGGAGGAAAAGAAACCAACCGGGAUUGCCUUAGUAACGGCGAGUGAAGCGGCAAAAGCUCAAAUUUGAAAUCUAGUACCUUCGGUGCUCGAGUUGUAAUUUGUAGAGGGAUACUUUGGGGCCGUUCCUUGUCUAUGUUCCUUGGAACAGGACGUCAUAGAGGGUGAGAAUCCCGUGUGGCGAGGAGUGCGGUUCUAUGUAAAGUGCCUUCGAAGAGUCGAGUUGUUUGGGAAUGCAGCUCUAAGUGGGUGGUAAAUUCCAUUUAAAGCUAAAUAUUGGCGAGAGACCGAUAGCGAACAAGUACAGUGAUGGAAAGAUGAAAAGAACUUUGAAAAGAGAGUGAAAAAGUACGUGAAAUUGUUGAAAGGGAAGGGCAUUUGAUCAGACAUGGUGUUUUGCGCCCUCCGCUCCUUGUGGGUGGGGGACUCUCGCAGCUCACUGGGCCAACAUCAGUUUUGGUGGUCGGACAAAUCCGUAGGAAUGUAGCUUACCUCGGUAAGUGUUAUAGCCUGCGGGAAUACGGCCAGCCGGGACUGAGGACUGCGACUUUUGUCAAGGAUGUUGGCAUAAUGGUUAUAUGCCGCCCGUCUUG
This 592-nucleotide ribosomal RNA is filed under the name Monosporozyma servazzii. RNAcentral describes it as "eukaryotic LSU rRNA". It matches the Rfam family "Eukaryotic large subunit ribosomal RNA", at positions 50 to 656 of the family's 3401-position model. Lineage: Eukaryota; Fungi; Ascomycota; Saccharomycetes; Saccharomycetales; Saccharomycetaceae. The record is from RNAcentral.